ACUAUGGCGACAGCGGAGGGACAUUA
This 26-nucleotide ribosomal RNA is filed under the name Trichoderma vadicola. Its description in RNAcentral is "Trichoderma sp. GZ-2018c partial 18S ribosomal RNA". The record is from RNAcentral. Lineage: Eukaryota; Fungi; Ascomycota; Sordariomycetes; Hypocreales; Hypocreaceae.